Arachis ipaensis is the source of this 205-nucleotide non-coding RNA. NCBI's taxonomy places the organism in Eukaryota, Viridiplantae, Streptophyta, Magnoliopsida, Fabales, Fabaceae. The record is from RefSeq and is a predicted model, not a curated record.
GAGUUGCUGUGGUUGCUGCAGAAGUGGAUUGGAAUUGAGGUUGCGGCUGCCAAGGUUACAGACAGAGAAGAAGGGGUUUUGACGCGCUGUAUAGCUUUCGAGUUUCGACGAGUUGGGGAGACGGAUGACGAGGCUUAUGAAGAGUUUUAUUGCGUUUUGUUUAUUCGAUGUUAUUGUUUUAGUUAUUAUUUAUUUACCCCUCUCU